GGCAAAUUUACAGACAGAAAAAGUGGCAUCUUCAAUAAGUGAUCACUCUGUUGCAGAUGCUUUAGCUAAGAUCAACUUGUAACUUGAUUGACAUGUACAACAGUGUAAGAAUGGCACCUUGUGGGAAUGGAGCAUAUCUAGCAACAUUGGAUCCGACCCACACGGCUAUAACCACUAACGCGACUACGCUACUGCUUGUUUUGCCACAAAGCCAACUUGCAAAUGAAAGGCAUAAUGUAAGUAGAACACCACCUCUGCCUCCCAAAAUCCAUG
This 273-nucleotide unclassified non-coding RNA is filed under the name Hevea brasiliensis (rubber tree). Lineage: Eukaryota; Viridiplantae; Streptophyta; Magnoliopsida; Malpighiales; Euphorbiaceae. The record is from RNAcentral.